Molecule: ribosomal RNA, 1300 nt
Filed under: Lactobacillus sp. PT46
Lineage: Bacteria; Bacillati; Bacillota; Bacilli; Lactobacillales; Lactobacillaceae
Description: bacterial SSU rRNA
Rfam family: Bacterial small subunit ribosomal RNA
Source: RNAcentral
GCAGGGGAUAACAUUUGGAAACAGAUGCUAAUACCGUAUAAAUCCUAAAACCACAUGGUUUUAGGCUGAAAGGCGGCUUCGGCUGUCACUUAGAGAUGGACCCGCGGCGUAUUAGCUAGUUGGUGAGGUAAUGGCUCACCAAGGCAAUGAUACGUAGCCGAACUGAGAGGUUGAUCGGCCACAUUGGGACUGAGACACGGCCCAAACUCCUACGGGAGGCAGCAGUAGGGAAUCUUCCACAAUGGACGCAAGUCUGAUGGAGCAACGCCGCGUGAGUGAAGAAGGCUUUCGGGUCGUAAAACUCUGUUGUUGAAGAAGAACACGUUUGAGAGUAACUGUUCAGACGUUGACGGUAUUCAACCAGAAAGCCACGGCUAACUACGUGCCAGCAGCCGCGGUAAUACGUAGGUGGCAAGCGUUAUCCGGAUUUAUUGGGCGUAAAGCGAGCGCAGGCGGUUUUUUAAGUCUGAUGUGAAAGCCCUCGGCUUAACCGAGGAAGUGCAUCGGAAACUGGGAAACUUGAAUGCUGAAGAGGACAGUGGAACUCCAUGUGUAGCGGUGAAAUGCGUAGAUAUAUGGAAGAACACCAGUGGCGAAGGCGGCUGUCUGGUCAGUUAUUGACGCUGAGGCUCGAAAGCAUGGGUAGCGAACAGGAUUAGAUACCCUGGUAGUCCAUGCCGUAAACGAUGAAUACUAGGUGUUGGAGGGUUUCCGCCCUUCAGUGCCGCAGCUAACGCAUUAAGUAUUCCGCCUGGGGAGUACGACCGCAAGGUUGAAACUCAAAGGAAUUGACGGGGGCCCGCACAAGCGGUGGAGCAUGUGGUUUAAUUCGAAGCAACGCGAAGAACCUUACCAGGUCUUGACAUCUUCUGCUAUUUCUAGAGAUAGAAAGUUCCCUUCGGGGACGGAAUGACAGGUGGUGCAUGGUUGUCGUCAGCUCGUGUCGUGAGAUGUUGGGUUAAGUCCCGCAACGAGCGCAACCCUUAUGACUAGUUGCCAGCAUUAAGUUGGGCACUCUAGUAAGACUGCCGGUGACAAACCGGAGGAAGGUGGGGACGACGUCAAAUCAUCAUGCCCCUUAUGACCUGGGCUACACACGUGCUACAAUGGUUGGUACAACGAGUUGCGAACUCGCGAGGGUAAGCUAAUCUCUUAAAGCCAAUCUCAGUUCGGACUGUAGGCUGCAACUCGCCUACACGAAGUCGGAAUCGCUAGUAAUCGCGGAUCAGCAUGCCGCGGUGAAUACGUUCCCGGGCCUUGUACACACCGCCCGUCACACCAUGAGAGUUUGUAACACCCA